AUACGGAGGAUCCGAGCGUUAUCCGGAUUUAUUGGGUUUAAAGGGUGCGCAGGCGGCCAAUUAAGUCAGCGGUUAAAUCGUGGGGCUCAACCCCAUUCUGCCGUUGAUACUGGGUGGCUUGAUUGCGGUAGAGGUUGGCGGAAUUCGUUGUGUAGCGGUGAAAUGCAUAGAUAUGACGAAGAACACCGAUUGCUUAGGAAGCUGACCAGACCGCAAAUGACGCUCAUGCACGAAAGUGCGGGGAUCGAACAGGAUUAGAUACCCUGUAGUCCGCACAGUAAACGAUGAAUACUUGUUUUCGGCGAUAUAAUGUCGGAGGCAAAGCGAAAGCGAUAAGUAUUCCACCUGGGGAGUACGCCGGCAACGGUGAAACUCAAAGGAAUUGACGGGG
Molecule: ribosomal RNA, 391 nt
Filed under: uncultured bacterium
Lineage: Bacteria
Description: partial 16S ribosomal RNA
Rfam family: Bacterial small subunit ribosomal RNA
Source: RNAcentral